CCUACGGGCGGCAGCAGUGGGGGAUAUUGCACAAUGGGGGAAACCCUGAUGCAGCGACGCCGCGUGUGGGAAGACGGUCCUCUGGGUUGUAAACCACUGUCCCCAGGGACGAAGAUGCCGGUACCUGGGGACGACGCUCCGGCUCACUACGUGCCAGCAGCCGCGGUAAUACGUAGGGAGCGAGCGUUGUCCGGAAUUACUGGGUGUAAAGGGAGCGUAGGCGGGGAUGCAAGUUGGGUGUAAAAACUACCGGCUCAACUGGUAGUCGCACUCAAAACUGCAGCUCUUGAGUGAAGUAGAGGCAGGCGGAAUUCCUAGUGUAGCGGUGAAAUGCGUAGAUAUUAGGAGGAACACCAGUGGCGAAGGCGGCCUGCUGGGCUGUUACUGACGCUGAGGCUCGAAAGUGUGGGGAGCAAACAGGAUUAGAUACCCUAGUAGUC
Molecule: ribosomal RNA, 440 nt
Filed under: uncultured bacterium
Lineage: Bacteria
Description: partial 16S ribosomal RNA
Rfam family: Bacterial small subunit ribosomal RNA
Source: RNAcentral